RNAcentral lists this ribosomal RNA (465 nucleotides) under uncultured bacterium. Its description in RNAcentral is "partial 16S ribosomal RNA". It matches the Rfam family "Bacterial small subunit ribosomal RNA", at positions 338 to 795 of the family's 1533-position model. The record is from RNAcentral.
CCUACGGGUGGUAGCAGUAGGGAAUCUUGCGCAAUGGACGAAAGCCUGACGCAGCAACGCCGCGUGAGGGAUGAAGGUCUUCGGAUCGUAAACCUCUGUCGGCAGGGAAGAACGGUCACUUUGCUAAUCAGCAGUGCAUUGACGGUACCUGCAAAGGAAGCACCGGCUAACUCCGUGCCAGCAGCCGCGGUAAUACGGAGGGUGCGAGCGUUGAUCGGAAUUACUGGGCGUAAAGCGCUCGUAGGCGGUAUGUCAAGUCAAGGGUGAAAUCCCCGCGCUCAACGGGGGAACUGCCUUUGAAACUGGGAAACUGGAGUGUGUGAGAGGAGAGUGGAAUUCCAGGUGUAGGAGUGAAAUCCGUAGAUAUCUGGAGGAACAUCAGUGGCGAAGGCGACUAUCUGGCACAUAACUGACGCUGAGGAGCGAAAGCGUGGGUAGCAAACAGGAUUAGAUACCCGUGUAGUC